CAAGUCGGCUAGACAAUCGCUCUACUCAUAAGGUAGGGAGGAAAGUCCGGACUCCGCAGGGCAGAGUGCCAGGUAACGCCUGGGGGGUGUGAACCUACGGAAAGUGCAACAGAAAGAUACCGCCAGCUUUGUACCCUUGGGUAUACUGGUAAGGGUGAAAUGGUGCGGUAAGAGCGCACCGCGGCGUUGGUAACAACGAUGGCAUGGCAAACCCCACUUGGAGCAAGACCAAAUAGGAGCCUUCAUGUGGCCCGCAAUAAGGGGCUCGGGUUGGUCGCUUGAGCUUUAUGGUGACAUAAAGCCCAGAUGAAUGAUUGUUCACGACAGAAUCCGGCUUAUCGGCUGACUUGCAAU
RNAcentral lists this RNase P RNA (354 nucleotides) under Legionellales bacterium. Its description in RNAcentral is "RNase P RNA component class A". It matches the Rfam family "Bacterial RNase P class A". From Rfam's summary of the family: Ribonuclease P (RNase P) is a ubiquitous endoribonuclease, found in archaea, bacteria and eukarya as well as chloroplasts and mitochondria. Its best characterised activity is the generation of mature 5'-ends of tRNAs by cleaving the 5'-leader elements of precursor-tRNAs. Lineage: Bacteria; Pseudomonadati; Pseudomonadota; Gammaproteobacteria; Legionellales. The record is from RNAcentral.